AACCUCCAUAGUGUCACAAGCACAGUAAAUUUUCACUUUACAAGGGCAUGAUCUUAUGCUGGACGU
Molecule: transfer RNA, 66 nt
Filed under: Vema ewingi
Lineage: Eukaryota; Metazoa; Mollusca; Monoplacophora; Tryblidiida; Neopilinidae
Description: tRNA-Glu
Source: RNAcentral